This 254-nucleotide ribosomal RNA is filed under the name uncultured bacterium. RNAcentral describes it as "partial 16S ribosomal RNA". It matches the Rfam family "Bacterial small subunit ribosomal RNA", at positions 524 to 776 of the family's 1533-position model. The record is from RNAcentral.
UACGUAGGGUGCGAGCGUUGUCCGGAAUUAUUGGGCGUAAAGAGCUCGUAGGCGGUGUGUCACGUCGGCCGUGAAAACCUGCAGCUUAACUGUGGGCGUGCGGUCGAUACGGGCAUCACUGGAGUUCGGCAGGGGAGACUGGAAUUCCUGGUGUAGCGGUGAAAUGCGCAGAUAUUGGGAAGAACACCCGUGGCGAAGGCGGCUCUCUGGAACGCAACUGACGCUGAGACGCGAAAGCGUGGGGAGCAAACAGG